CAACAAGUAAUACAAGAUGUAGUCUUUAUCUCUCCUCUGCGUUCUACUUCUCUGUCUUUGUUCAUUUCAAUUCAAUAAACCAUGAUUUCUAGCAUGGUAUCAGAGCCUCGGCUCUUAUCCUGUGGACUUCAUGCUUUCGUCUAUCUUUAGCUUCCGCUGUUAUCAUCAGUUUCUUUCGCUUUCAAUUUUCGUUUUCCCCAAUUUUCUAAAUCCCUAGCCUCAUAUCUCUAAGUUUCAUGCCCAGUCUAUUAAUUCGAAGCCGAUAAAUCCUCAAAUCGGAUUUCAUCAUCGUUACCCAGCCUUUUUCUCCUCUUCUUGUCACGCUCUGACAGAGAAUUUGGAAAUCUGAAUUCGGGACUUAGGGUCUGCAUCUGAGUCUGCUUCCAGUCCUCAACUUUGCUCUUUGUUCAGUCAUCUCUGUCGUCUCCUUUGGACACUUUGGUCGCUGGCGUAUCUCUUCUCGUUUUCUCAUCGAUUGGACUAGCGGCAGUAGAUGGUGAUUUGAUGUCAAAUGUGCAAUGGGUAUUCUGGACCAUCAUGUUACAAUUCGAAUCAAAUAAACUGCUUCUCUUGACACAACGUCACAACCCAGACAUAUUUUGAUUUACAAGAU
Fragaria vesca subsp. vesca is the source of this 613-nucleotide RNA transcript. RefSeq lists it as uncharacterized. The transcript is spliced from 2 exons. The record is from RefSeq and is a predicted model, not a curated record. NCBI's taxonomy places the organism in Eukaryota, Viridiplantae, Streptophyta, Magnoliopsida, Rosales, Rosaceae.